Molecule: long non-coding RNA, 715 nt
Filed under: Phasianus colchicus (ring-necked pheasant)
Lineage: Eukaryota; Metazoa; Chordata; Aves; Galliformes; Phasianidae
Description: lncRNA (ENSPCLG00000012335.1)
Source: RNAcentral
CUAUUUUUAUGACCCUUGCCAUAACUGAGCCAGAACACUAUAGAUUGCUAAUGCAUUUAUGGCCUGCCUCUACAAGUGGAAUUGUGGGAAGACUGUGGGGAGCAAGUGGUGAACAGAACCCAUCCUGUGUGAAGCCUAAGGCUGUUAAAAUGUCAGAUGAUAAAAACAACCAAGGGUUCCAGAUGGGGCAAUUGGAAGAGAAACAUGCUGAAGGCGAUAAUAAGAAAGUUCUGGAUUCUCUCAACUGGGAGUCCCGUGUCCUCACCUGGGACUUCCAAAUGCAAUCCUUGUUCAAGUCUUGUGCAAAGCAGCACGCUGUGAGGAAGUUCUUCAUUAUCAGGUGUUCCCUCAUUUGGCCAGGAGUGUUCAACCAAACCGUAGUAGGUCCAUGUCAUGAGGGGUUCAGAGGGAACAUCACAGAGCUCUUUGCUGUUGAGUGGGAGGCCAUGAAGAGUUUGGAGUCUGACUGUGGUGCUGAUACGUACGAUGGGUUGGUGGAAAGAGGAUGAGCCUGUGGGAGAUGCAACAUGGUGGUGCAUUUGAGAUAAGUUAAUAAUAACAGACACGUCAGCGUCAGUGGAUGUGCGACUUGCUUUGAGCUGGCAAGGAGAGAUGGGAACUUGAAUCAUUAUUGAUUUUCACUUUAAAGGUUUCUGCUAGCAAUUUAUUUAAAGGAAACAAUAAAGGUUGAUGCCAGAACUCUUCUUUUUGCUGG